GCCAGGCGUAGUGGCAUGCGCCUGUAAUCCCAGCUACUGAGGAGGCUGAGACAGGAGAAUCGCUUGAACCCAGGAGGCGGAGGUUGUUGCAGUGAGCCAAGAUGGCACCACUGCACUUUAGCCUGGGUGACAGAGUGAGACUCUGUCUCAA
RNAcentral lists this non-coding RNA (151 nucleotides) under Pan troglodytes (chimpanzee). Lineage: Eukaryota; Metazoa; Chordata; Mammalia; Primates; Hominidae. The record is from Rfam by way of RNAcentral.